GACCACAUUCUGGUAAAAUGUGGCUGACAUUUAAAUUAUGCUCCUUGUAUCUGUUUUCUUCAGGCAAAGUGUUCUGGAAUCCCCUCUGCAGGUUGCCCUGAGCACGAUGAUGCCCUGUAGCAGCUUGAAGUGGGAGGUAUUCUCUUUUGAACGGGAGAGUUGUGUGUCACCCUAGAUCCCCAGAAACACACCCUACUUGUACGGGCAGGAUCCAACUCAGACUUGAUGAAGCAACUGGUCUAUCAAGCAUUGAUGAGGCAAGCAGGAAACCUAAUGAAAAUAAUACAAGGAAAUCUUUUCAUCAACACCCACCCCUUAAUGUCUCAGCUAUCAGGUCAUUGUGUUUGCUUCUCUCCAUGGAAUACUCAUCUGCAGCCAACGUCGGAAGCUCUGAUUUUAAACAA
RNAcentral lists this long non-coding RNA (404 nucleotides) under Felis catus (domestic cat). RNAcentral describes it as "lncRNA (ENSFCAG00000045990.2)". The record is from RNAcentral. Lineage: Eukaryota; Metazoa; Chordata; Mammalia; Carnivora; Felidae.